This 451-nucleotide ribosomal RNA is filed under the name uncultured bacterium. Its description in RNAcentral is "partial 16S ribosomal RNA". It matches the Rfam family "Bacterial small subunit ribosomal RNA", at positions 354 to 796 of the family's 1533-position model. The record is from RNAcentral.
GUGGGGAAUAUUGGACAAUGGGGGGAACCCUGAUCCAGCCAUGCCGCGUGUGUGAAGAAGGCCUUUUGGUUGUAAAGCACUUUAAGCGAGGAGGAGGCUACCGAGAUUAAUACUCUUGGAUAGUGGACGUUACUCGCAGAAUAAGCACCGGCUAACUCUGUGCCAGCAGCCGCGGUAAUACAGAGGGUGCAAGCGUUAAUCGGAUUUACUGGGCGUAAAGCGCGCGUAGGUGACCAAUUAAGUCAAAUGUGAAAUCCCCGAGCUUAACUUGGGAAUUGCAUUCGAUACUGGUUGGCUAGAGUAUGGGAGAGGAUGGUAGAAUUCCAGGUGUAGCGGUGAAAUGCGUAGAGAUCUGGAGGAAUACCGAUGGCGAAGGCAGCCAUCUGGCCUAAUACUGACACUGAGGUGCGAAAGCAUGGGGAGCAAACAGGAUUAGAAACCCGUGUAGUCC